GCGUUAAGUUGCAGGGUAUAGACCCGAAACCCGGUGAUCUAGCCAUGGGCAGGUUGAAGGUUGGGUAACACUAACUGGAGGACCGAACCGACUAAUGUUGAAAAAUUAGCGGAUGACCUGUGGCUGGGGGUGAAAGGCCAAUCAAACCGGGAGAUAGCUGGUUCUCCCCGAAAGCUAUUUAGGUAGCGCCUCGUGAAUUCAUCUCCGGGGGUAGAGCACUGUUUCGGCUAGGGGGCCAUCCCGGCUUACCAACCCGAUGCAAACUGCGAAUACCGGAGAAUGUUAUCACGGGAGACACACGGCGGGUGCUAACGUCCGUCGUGAAGAGGGAAACAACCCAGACCGCCAGCUAAGGUCCCAAAGUCAUGGUUAAGUGGGAAACGAUGUGGGAAGGCCCAGACAGCCAGGAUGUUGGCUUAGAAGCAGCCAUCAUUUAAAGAAAGCGUAAUAGCUCACUGGUCGAGUCGGCCUGCGCGGAAGAUGUAACGGGGCUAAACCAU
RNAcentral lists this ribosomal RNA (500 nucleotides) under Salmonella enterica. RNAcentral's name for it is "partial 23S ribosomal RNA". It matches the Rfam family "Bacterial large subunit ribosomal RNA", at positions 692 to 1190 of the family's 2925-position model. The record is from RNAcentral. Lineage: Bacteria; Pseudomonadati; Pseudomonadota; Gammaproteobacteria; Enterobacterales; Enterobacteriaceae. RNAcentral also lists the same sequence under 6 other names.